GGGUUGUGAGGUUAAGCGACUAAGCGUACACGGUGGAUGCCCUGGCAGUCAGAGGCGAUGAAGGACGUGCUAAUCUGCGAUAAGCGCCGGUAAGGUGAUAUGAACCGUUAUAACCGGCGAUUUCCGAAUGGGGAAACCCAGUGUGACUCGUCACACUAUCAUUAACUGAAUCCAUAGGUUAAUGAGGCGAACCGGGGGAACUGAAACAUCUAAGUACCCCGAGGAAAAGAAAUCAACCGAGAUUCCCCCAGUAGCGGCGAGCGAACGGGGAGGAGCCCAGAGCCUGAAUCAGCAUGUGUGUUAGUGGAAGCGUCUGGAAAGGCGCGCGAUACAGGGUGACAGCCCCGUACACAAAAGCGCAUGUGCUGUGAGCUCGAUGAGUAGGGCGGGACACGUGGUAUCCUGUCUGAAUAUGGGGGGACCAUCCUCCAAGGCUAAAUACUCCUGACUGACCGAUAGUGAACCAGUACCGUGAGGGAAAGGCGAAAAGAACCCCGGCGAGGGGAGUGAAAAAGAACCUGAAACCGUGUACGUACAAGCAGUGGGAGCAUCCUUCGGGGUGUGACUGCGUACCUUUUGUAUAAUGGGUCAGCGACUUAUAUUCUGUAGCAAGGUUAACCGUAUAGGGGAGCCGCAGGGAAACCGAGUCUUAACCGGGCGUUAAGUUGCAGGGUAUAGACCCGAAACCCGGUGAUCUAGCCAUGGGCAGGUUGAAGGUUGGGUAACACUAACUGGAGGACCGAACCGACUAAUGUUGAAAAAUUAGCGGAUGACCUGUGGCUGGGGGUGAAAGGCCAAUCAAACCGGGAGAUAGCUGGUUCUCCCCGAAAGCUAUUUAGGUAGCGCCUCGUGAAUUCAUCUUCGGGGGUAGAGCACUGUUUCGGCUAGGGGGCCAUCCCGGCUUACCAACCCGAUGCAAACUGCGAAUACCGGAGAAUGUUAUCACGGGAGACACACGGCGGGUGCUAACGUCCGUCGUGAAGAGGGAAACAACCCAGACCGCCAGCUAAGGUCCCAAAGUCAUGGUUAAGUGGGAAACGAUGUGGGAAGGCCCAGACAGCCAGGAUGUUGGCUUAGAAGCAGCCAUCAUUUAAAGAAAGCGUAAUAGCUCACUGGUCGAGUCGGCCUGCGCGGAAGAUGUAACGGGGCUAAACCAUGCACCGAAGCUGCGGCAGCGACGCUGAUGCGUUGUUGGGUAGGGGAGCGUUCUGUAAGCCUGUGAAGGUGGCCUGUGAGGGUUGCUGGAGGUAUCAGAAGUGCGAAUGCUGACAUAAGUAACGAUAAAGCGGGUGAAAAGCCC
Molecule: ribosomal RNA, 1300 nt
Filed under: Salmonella enterica
Lineage: Bacteria; Pseudomonadati; Pseudomonadota; Gammaproteobacteria; Enterobacterales; Enterobacteriaceae
Description: partial 23S ribosomal RNA
Rfam family: Bacterial large subunit ribosomal RNA
Source: RNAcentral